RNAcentral lists this transfer RNA (75 nucleotides) under Salmonella enterica subsp. enterica serovar Bovismorbificans. RNAcentral describes it as "tRNA-Pro(ggg)". It matches the Rfam family "tRNA". From Rfam's summary of the family: Transfer RNA (tRNA) molecules are approximately 80 nucleotides in length. Their secondary structure includes four short double-helical elements and three loops (D, anti-codon, and T loops). The record is from RNAcentral. Lineage: Bacteria; Pseudomonadati; Pseudomonadota; Gammaproteobacteria; Enterobacterales; Enterobacteriaceae.
CGGCACGUAGCGCAGCCUGGUAGCGCACCGUCAUGGGGUGUCGGGGGUCGGAGGUUCAAAUCCUCUCGUGCCGAC